CCCUUAGAUGUUCUGGGCCGCACGCGCGCUACAAUGAUGAAUUCAACGAGUUUAUAACCUUGGUUGAAAAGCCUGGGUAAUCUUUUGAACUUUCGUCGUGAUGGGGCUAGACCCUUGCAAUUAUUGGUCUCCAACGAGGAAUUCCUAGUAAACGCAAGUCAUCAGCUUGCAUUGAUUACGUCCCUGCCCUUUGUACACACCGCUCGUCGCACCUACCGAUUGAAUGGUCCGGUGAAAUCUUCGGAUUGAGACUUUGAUUUCUUCACGGAAAACGCUGUUUUAAAAAGUUGAUUAAACCUUACCAUUUAGAGGAAGGUGAAGUUGUAACA
RNAcentral lists this ribosomal RNA (329 nucleotides) under uncultured eukaryote. RNAcentral's name for it is "partial 18S ribosomal RNA". It matches the Rfam family "Eukaryotic small subunit ribosomal RNA", at positions 1470 to 1796 of the family's 1831-position model. The record is from RNAcentral.